Molecule: unclassified non-coding RNA, 146 nt
Filed under: uncultured Preussia
Lineage: Eukaryota; Fungi; Ascomycota; Dothideomycetes; Pleosporales; Sporormiaceae
Description: sequence contains ITS2
Source: RNAcentral
AAACCUUCAAGCUCAGCUUGGUGAUGGGUGACUGUCCUAACCAUGGACUCGCCUCAAAUACAUUGGCGGCCGGUACAUUGGCUUCGAGCGCAGCAGAAACGCGAACUCGGAACCAGUGUGCUAGCUCCCAGAAGCUAUCUUCACAA